RNAcentral lists this long non-coding RNA (842 nucleotides) under Chinchilla lanigera (long-tailed chinchilla). RNAcentral describes it as "lncRNA (ENSCLAG00000024570.1)". Lineage: Eukaryota; Metazoa; Chordata; Mammalia; Rodentia; Chinchillidae. The record is from RNAcentral.
GGCAGACUUGUAAAAACAUGAGUGUCCUCACCUACCUUAUCCACCAGAUCUGGCACAGUGUGACUUCUGGCUCUCCGCCGAAGUCAAAAUGACUGUGGAAGGGAAACGUUUUGCAUUGAUACCUGAAUCAGUUCAUGACUGAAGCGGCCGUGACAGUGCAACUACAGGUCCGAAAGACGACUUCCAGAGCCGCUUCAGAAGGUGGCAGGAACAACGAGAAUGUAAAGCGACCCUCAGAGAACCGCAGAUACAGCCCGGGCAGAGCGUCUCCCUGCAGAGCAGCCAGGGACUCAGGCUGCUACUUCAACACUUCCAACCCGUCUUCUUCAAAACAGCUGCGAGACAGAGCCAAAAGCUCUUGAGAGUCAAGGUCAGCCUUAGAUAAUGGCCUGGAGGUGAAGCUCCUCACCUUGGCAAAGAGAAGAAUUACGGCCUCUCUCCCUCCUGUCCUCCGCUGAUGGCCAGAGGAGACAGAUAAUAUUUACUAUUUUGUCCUCACAAACCACGGCAGAGAUGCUGACCAUAUAUUUGAAGAGCAGGGACUUAAUAUUUUGAGAUGGGAUGUUGGGCCAGAAAACAGUGGACCGUCUGUUCUUAUUAAUUUAAGUGUGACAGCCGAACCUUCUCCGCCUCCUGAGGAGUACAGUGUCACACCAGCAAAAUGUCUCGGUAGGGAGCAAGGCCAUCGUGAACACCGGGAAGAAUUAGUUAUGCUGCUUGCACCGGACAAAAGAGCCGGGAGCAGUGGGGAUAAGGGUGAGUCUCGCGUGCAUGCCCCCUUGGCUGGGUGUGGACGGCAACAACAGCUGCGUCAGCCUGCAGGCCUAGUGCUGCGAGAGACA